UACGUAGGGUGCAAGCGUUAAUCGGAAUUACUGGGCGUAAAGCGUGCGCAGGCGGUUUUGUAAGUCUGUCGUGAAAGCCCCGGGCUCAACCUGGGAAUUGCGAUGGAGACUGCAAGGCUUGAAUCUGGCAGAGGGGGGUAGAAUUCCACGUGUAGCAGUGAAAUGCGUAGAGAUGUGGAGGAACACCGAUGGCGAAGGCAGCCCACUGGGUCAAGAUUGACGCUCAUGCACGAAAGCGUGGGGAGCAAACAGG
RNAcentral lists this ribosomal RNA (253 nucleotides) under uncultured bacterium. RNAcentral's name for it is "partial 16S ribosomal RNA". It matches the Rfam family "Bacterial small subunit ribosomal RNA", at positions 524 to 776 of the family's 1533-position model. The record is from RNAcentral.